UUACUUACGAAAGCAAAAAAUUAUGGCGGUGUUUUAAGCUUUUCAGAGGAAUUUGCUCUUUAAUGGAUAAAACACCUAGACCUUACUUAAAUUAGUACUUUUCAGUUUGUAUACCACUAUUAUAAUAAUAAUUUGUUAUUAUUAUUAAUAUUCUUAAAUUAGAAGAAAAUUAAGUCAAGGUGCAGCAUAAAUUUAUGAAUGAAGUGAAUUACAUUUCUUUUAAGAAAAA
This 229-nucleotide ribosomal RNA is filed under the name Hyalomma marginatum. RNAcentral describes it as "partial 12S ribosomal RNA". Lineage: Eukaryota; Metazoa; Arthropoda; Arachnida; Ixodida; Ixodidae. The record is from RNAcentral.